AUCAAGAUGCAACUCAAGUUAUAUGUUUUUUUUUGUCCUGCCAGACAUUUCAAUAUAUUGCAUCUAUUUUAAAUUUUCUCCAGUGACCUCGGAACAAGCCGUUUUUUCAUAUCUCAAGGUCAUCUUUCAUUUCAUUCUCUGGAGAACUAUACCUUGGACUUUUGGUCCAAAAAUCUCUCGUUAUUCUAACGAGCUUUAUAUCGAAUUGAUGGCCAAUCAAUUCACUCUACCCUCAUAGAUAGAGGUAGAUUCAUAAUCUUAAUUUUUAUAGCGCUUUUUCAUUUAUUUAUUGUCGACAAUCUAUUUUCUCUUUGGUUCCAUUUUUUUUUAUCCGUACUGAUAUGGUUAAUCGAGAUCACUUUAUCUCAUCAAUGAUUUACCCAGGUACAUGACUGUUAUAUUAACCAUAUCAACGGUCUCAUCAUGAGAUUCAUCCUCUAUUUAUAUUUUUGCUCCUUUUCGAGGACUCUUUGGAACCAAAGUGGUCUAUCACGUCUCUAGCGUGCCAUAGACUCAUAUAUCGUCCGUUUAGGACACUAUUUUCUUAUUGGAGUAUUUUCACCUGGAAUAUGAAUAUCAUUAUUUCAUCAAAAUGUCUGGCAGGCAUUUUGGAAAUGGAUUAUCCUACUUUUCAUUGUAAUCCAUUUCACAUAUCUCAUUCCAUCAGCUUAUCAUAUGCUUCUAGCAAACUUGCGAGCAUAUUUCUAAGUAUCCAUAUACUUUAUCCCUCUAGAUUGUAUAUGUCUUUAUUACAUGCACAACUGCAUGUUUACACCCGAUCAUGGUGAUCAUCUUACUUGAAUUUACUUUAUAAAGUUCUUUUUCAAGUGCGAACAUAAUUUUUCAAUGUUCCACUCACUAGGAUUCUUUAAUUCUCCUCCUCGAGAUGAUGACACUCCAUGUCUAAAAUCUCGUACUGAAUCCCACUCUAGAACCAAUAACAUAUUCAGUUUUCCCAUUUUGGGAUGAAUUAUGUUUCAAAUCCUUUAGAGUGAGAUCUUAAUUUGGGGUCUGCUUAAAGAAAUCACAUAUAGUGAACUUGUUUGAUGAUUCAUCACCCAUGAUGGUUUCCUUUAUUUUCUUGACAUGCUAUAUGUGAAAAACUUUUGGUUUUUCAACAUUUCACAAUAAUGUCGAUAACAUUAUUGGAGAUGGCUAUAUAUCAGUAAACUCCAGGUUUACCACUCAUUUAUAAUUUUUCCAUCUUUUUCUUAUACAUGUCUUAUCAUAAGUUCCUCUAGAGCCAAUAGUAAUUUUUAUAUUACUAGAUACUAUACUUAUUUAUUUUGAGAGAAAAGAAAUAUUUGUUACCUUUAGUAGUCAUGUACGAUAAUUCAAUAUCUGCCAGGUUUAUCUAUCUCCAAAGCGGGAUACGGAUGUUAGGUUUUCGGGAACCAAUGUCUUUUAGAUUUCUGGUGAUUUGAGGGUGCUGGACUCUCCGGUGGUGGCAAAAUCUCUGAGAUUUCUCUUGGCGGAGCUUGGCUGGUAUUGGACUCCCCGUGCAGAGAGAUGAAGAAAGAUGAAUCUGUUAGAUGAAGUGAGAUAGAGAGAAUAACGUACAGAGUAGAGUAAGGUAGAUGAGAAGGAAACACAUUGAUUCUUAGCCAUUGUUUAUGUAAUCCAAUGGCCAAAAAUAGUGAUCCAUGAUUUCAAGAAUCAACCAAUAAGAAAGCAACACGAAGAUAAUGGUUUUUGGCCUUUAGAUCAUAAUUAAUCAAUGGCCCAUGAAAAACACCACAUUUUUUUUAUCUAUAGUUUUUUUAGAAAUUGUUUGAACUUAAAAAUUAGAUAACAUAUUUAACAUUUGAAAUAUAAACUUGUGGAUUUGAAUUUUGUGGUUAUAUAAUUAAAGAAAAACUGGUUUGGUAGUUUUGUGUUUGUGUUAAAACAAAUAGAAUUUAAAUUUGAAGGUACCUAAGUGUAUAUAGGGUUUGUUUAGGGAUAAAGAGUAGAACGUUUGUGUUAAAAUUCUGUGAGUAUACAUACAAUACAUGUAUUUUGGUGUUAACGUGUAUGUUUUUUGGAUUAAAAUUUUAAGACCAUUAGAUAUAAAGUUUAGGAGUUGAAAAAAAAAAGAUAUAAAGUUUAGGAUUUUAGAUUUAAAUAUUAUGUAUGAUUAUAGGGGUUAGAUUUAACGUAUAGGGUUUGGUGUUUAAUCUGAAAAGAUUUAAAUUUAUAAUUUUAUAUUUAAAAAUUGGAGUUUUAAGUUUUAAAAUAUGAUAAAGAUUGUUAGUGUGUUAUAGUUUAAAGUUUGUGUUUAGAGUUUAGGGUUUAAAAACUUAUUUGGGGGUUAGGGAUUCAAAAAUUCAACCAUAAUGUUAUUAAUUAUGUGCUAUUAAACAUACCCUGUCAUAGCGUUUUCAAAUAUAUCUUUCUAUCAUAGCGUUUCCAAAUAUACAAACGCUAUCUAAAAAGUAAGGAGUAUGUCAACCAUAGCGGAAACGCAAAAAAAAACACUAUCCUCGAAUGCUAUCAAAACCCUUAUUUCUUGUAAUGGUCAGAGGAUUAACCACCAGAAGUCAAGCAUCUAUUUUGAUAAAAAAAAAUAUUACACUGGAAAGAAGACUUCAAAUAAAGGCUAAGCUAGGAAUAGAUCAAGAGAGAGGAGAAGGGAUUUAUCUAGGUUUACCUGAAGCUUUUGGAGGCUCUAAAAUCUUAAUUCUCAGCUAUUUAAAAGACAGGAUGAGUGAAAGAGUACACGGCUGGCAGACCAGAUUCCUAUCACCAGCAGGCAAGGAGGUUUUGUUGAAGUCAGUGGUCCUAGCUUUCCCAACUUACACCAUAUCCUGCUUCCUCCCUCCCCAAAAUGAUCUUUCCUCCCUCCCCAAAAUGAUCUGUAAGAAAAUAAUGUCGAUAAUGUUUGAGUUCUGGUGGAGUACAAAGAGAGAGACCAGCGGCAUCUACUGGAAAAUUUGGGACCAGUUAAGAAAAAACAAAGGAAAGGGUGGGCUGGGUUUCAGAGUAUUCACUACUAGCAAGAGUUCUCAAGAGCAGGUACUAUGCAAAAUCGAACCCCUUACCUGCAAAUUUUGGUUCUUGCCCCUCUUAUUUCUGGAGAAGCAUACACUCGGCACAAGGAUUAAUGAAACAAGGCGCAAGAGUUCUGAUAGGCAACAGAGAGGAUAGAUACAAAGGUGUGGCAAGAUCAUUGGAUUGAGCAGAAACCAGCAAGACAAGCGAAAGUGGUAAGAUGGGACAGAGAGGCCACAAGGCAAAGAGUUCCUCAGAACCUGAGAGUUUGCGAUUUAUUGUGUAACCAAGGAAGAGAUUGGAACCUCACAUCGCUUGCAAAGAUCUUCCCUCAGGAGGAGGAGUGGAGACAAAUAGUAUGGAUCAGAACCUGUGGAAGUCGAAGAAGAGACGUCUAUAUCUAGGAUUACAACAAGACAGGCUACUACAUAGUGAAAUGUAGAUAUUGGGUCCAAACCAAUGUAAUAGGCAAGCAACAAUCACCUAUGGAAGAGCAAUCCAGCAUGGAUCCUCUCUUUCAGUUAGCAUAGGACUCUGAUACCAGCACGAAGAUUCAUCACUUUUGUGGCGAUAUAUAAGUAACACCAUUCCAGUUGCGGGGAAUAUGGCGAGAAGACACAUCUCCAAAGAAGCUGGUUGCCUAAGGUGUGGCUACGACACAAAAUCAGUGAAUUAUGUGCUAUUUCAAUGUCCUUUUGCUAGACUAGUGUGGGCUCUAUCUCCAAUCCAUGCUCCUCCUGAUGGUUUAUUUAUGAAUUCCUUAUACUCAAAUGUGUAUCAUGUGCUUAAUAUAUGGAAAUAGUCCCCUAACGAUGAUAUACAUGCUAGUUCCUUGGUUGUUAUGGAGAUUAUCGAAAAACAAGAAUGAAUUAAUGUUCAAAGGAAAGGAUUAUGAGGCAAUGAGUGUCAUAAGGAAAGCCCAUGAGGAUGCAGAGGAAUGGCAGAAGAGGAGACAUGAUGAAUUAGAAGAGGUAAAACAUACAUAGGUUAAAGCUCCCACAAAUACUAACCAGCGAUGUUCAUGGACUCCACCACCUGCAAAUUGGCUAAAAUUCAAUAGCGACGGAGCGUGGAAAAAGAACAAAGAAAACAGUGGUCUUGGGUGGCUGCGUAGAGAUGAAACAUGACAUGUAUUGUGGGCAGAGGCAAGAUCAGUGACAAGAGCGGCAUCCUCCAUUAUAACAAAAGCUGAGGCGUUUAAAUGGGCUGCAUAAUCGCUGGCUACUUUUGGAUACAAAGGUAUAAUAUUUGAGUCUGUCUCUCUUACCUUAGUCAGGAUAUUAAACGGACUGAAGAAGUAUGACCAAUUUUACAGCCUACUAUAGAGGAAAUUCGUCACUCUUUGUCACAGACUGAGAGCUAUGAAGUGAGAUAUUAUCCAACAGGAGGAAAUAAGGCAGCUGACAGAAUAGCAAAGGAAACUUUCACUUUUUUGUCCAAUGUUCUCAAGUUGUAUUAUGUUGUGCCAUUUUGGUUAGAAUAUCAGGUUGGGCAUGGUAAAAUAAUGGUGGAAAAUCAUAUUUAGUGAAUGAAAGUAGUUGUUGUGUUGAUGUCAAAAAAAAAGAAAAAAGUUGUUAAGUUUUUUUUAAAAAUGAAAAAAAAAGUUAAAAGUGGAAGCAAAAGUUUAAAAAAAAAGGAAAAUUGGUCUGAAUAGCCAUGAAAUAUAAUGUAAUUAAGUAUCUAACUAAAAAAACGACACCCUCAAUUAUUACUACAAUAUAUACUAUAUUACCCCUCCUUCCCGGUUAAUACGUGCACAAACUUCUUCUUCUUCACUUACUUAUCAUCAUCACUUCUUCGAAACACUAUCAUUUUUUUGUAAAAAAAGUAUCAAUCAUUUUGGGUCUUUAUCUAUCACGAUAGCAAUUAUCAUCAUUGCUCUUAUUUAUUAACAAAUUUUCUUUAAAAAACUACCAUUUCCUUGAUAUCAAUCACCACUUCUUCCGUCAUAACCCCACCACUCGUCGGUUGUAUAUCUUUUUUGAAUAAUAUGUAUUAUGCUAUUUCUUUGUUACUAUUCUAUUUUAGUAGUGUUUCAUAUUAUGUAUUAUGUGCAUAUUUUGAUAUUUUGGUUAUGGUUUAUAUUUCUUUUUAGGGUUUAAGGAUUAGUGUUUUGGGUUUAGUUUAUGGAAGGUUUAGAUUGACGUUGGGGUAAACAUUACCUAUUCUCUACAAUUAUAGACAUUUCAAAAUUUUAAUAAUAUGUACUAUGUUAUUUUUUUUGUUACUAUUCUAUUUUGAUAAUGUUUCAUAUUGUGUACUAUGUGCAUAUUUUGAUAUUUGGGUUAUGGUUUAUAUUUCUGUUAAGAUUUAGUGAUUAUUGUUUUGAAUUUAGUUUAUAGAAGGUUUGGGUUGGCAUUGGGGUAAACAUUACCUCAUUCCCUGCAAUGAUAGACAUUUCAAAAUUUGAAAAAUAUGUACUACGCUAUUCAUUUGUUACUAUUCUAUUUUGAUAAUGUUUUAUAUUAUGUACAAUUUACAUAUUUUGAUAUUUGAGUUAUGGUUUAUAUUUUUUUUAGGGUUUACUGAUCACUGUUUUGGGUUUAGUUUUGUUAAUUUUAGACAAACAUAGUAUAUUAAUAUAUUUAAUCAUUUUAUAAUUUCACUAAUAUGAACUAUAUCAUUUAGCAUGUUAUACUCUAUUUAUGUACUACCGGUAUAAUUACUAUCAUCGUGGAUGCUAUAACCACCACAAAUCUAACAACACUUUUUAUUUAAUUUUUAUGUAAAUGACAUAUGUCUUUGAUGUGCUAUUAUAUAGAGGAAGGAGAUAACUCGGAAGAAAAUAGAACAAAUGCUAUAAAAUUUAAUUAUUUUUAUAUAUAAAGAAGACUUUGAAUCACUCCCAGUGGGUCCAUCUCGGAUGCCACGUCAUCAAUUACUGUAUUCUGGAAGUGACACCUGUCCACCUUAAAUGAAACGAUGCGCUUCAUUAAGUUUUUGUACGGGAUUUUUUAUUUUUGGCAAAGGUGGCCUUUGUUUCGUCCGUUAGGGCCCUGCGAAUAAGACCAGAAAGUGCUAACCUGUUGUGAUUUAUUUGGUGAAGUAUAUGUAUUAUUGCAAAAGAAAAACAAAUAAUGGAAAAGAGAAAGAGAGAUGUGACGUGAGAGUGAGAGAGAUAUAGAUAAUUUAGAGUGUUGUGUUUCUUGUAGUCAACGAGAGAGAGACUAUAAGAGUUUUUCAUUCUAUGAUAAUUAUUUAAAAGGAACUGGUACAACAUAUUUAAAGGGGAAGUCAGUCAGUUUAUUUUGACCGACAUAAGGAGAAAAUGGACAAGUGUCCUAGUGAUAAUGCAAGAGACAUAAGGUGGUGAAGACAAGUGUCCAGGCAAGAUGACUAAUCAUUUUUUAUAACACUCCCCCUUGAUUAUUCAUCUUGUAUUACGUAGUGCGUCGUUAAAAAUCUAAUCAUAGAAAAACUCAUUGGGACAAAAACCAUAACAAGGAAAAAAGAGUACACUGCCGUAAUCUCCCCCUGAUAAUAGUAGACAUAACUUUCUCGUCACAGGUCACGCAAAUGCCGCAUUCCGAUACCGUAGACGUUUUUUCGGAAUAUCGUAGUAGGAAGAGCUUUUGUAAACAAAUCAGCUGGAUUGUCGCAUGACCGUAUAUAUUUGAUAUCCACUUCUUUAUUUUUCUCGAGCUCCCUUAUGUACGAGAAAAAUCUUGGAGGGAUGUGCUUUGUUCUAUCGCUUUUGAUGUAGCCUUCUAUGAGUUGAGCAACACAAGCCGAGUUAUCUUCAAAUAUUUUCGUCGGCUUUUUCUCGUUGACUAUUCUGUUUGAUUCUUGUAUGUGGUGACUCAUUAACCGAAGUCACACAAAUUCUCGACAUGCUUCGUGAAGCGCAAUAGUGUUUGCAUGAUUCGAAGAUGUCGCAACCAGAUUUUGUUUCUGGGACCGCCAAGAGAUUGCGGUUCCACCAGUUGUAAAAUUAUAUCCGGUUUGUGCUCGACUUUAUAAAUAGCAUGUAUCUGCAAAACCAUACCAAACUCGGGGUUUCUAGGUUAAACUAAUUCUGAAUCAAUACGUACCUUGGAGAGAACUGACAUGUUCUCGAUGCCAUUUUAAUUUCCAUAAAUAGGAAAUGAGAUGUAUCUUGCAAAGACAUUAGUGUCUAAACGUAUAUUUAAUCAAAUACAACUCGCAAGAUAUAUAAGCUCACAUAUGCUUUAUUACCAUUAGUAUCUCCAAAGUACUUAUUUAUAUAAGAUCUUACCAGGAUCUUUUAAUAUCUCUUUCAACAUCGAGAGAUCUAUUUACCAUUGAAGUACUCAAAGGAGUCGCUUUAUUCAUACCAAAGUGUUUUAAUAACCUUUUCAUAUGGAUUGAUUGAUGCACAAUUAUUCUUUCUCGGACAUGCUCUAUCUGGAGCCCAAGACAAAACUUUGUCUUGCCGAGAUCUUUCAUUUCGAACUCUUCUUUCAUAUGAGUUUGAGCAUCAUCAACCUCCUUUUGAGUUCCAAUUAUGUUCAGGUCAUCUACAUAUACAUCAAUGAUCACAAAGCCAGAUGACAAUUUCUUUAUAGAAAUGCAUGGACAUAUCGCAUUAUUAACAUAUCUCUUUUUCAAGAUAUAUUCACUUAAGCGAUUGUACCACAUGCGUCCGGAUUGCUAUAAUCCGUAAAAUGAUCGCUGUAACUUGACCGAACAAAUCUCUCUGGACUUUUAUUUCAAUGCCCCUGACAUUUUCAAUCCCUCAGGGAGUUUCAUAUAUAUAUAUUGUUAUCCAACGAUCCAUACAAAUAUGCAGUCACAACGUCGAUGAGAUGCAUCUCAAGAUUUUUAGACGCCGUUAGGCUCAUCAAAAAUCUAAAUAUAAUUGCAUCCAUUACCGGGAAAUACGUUUCGUCAAAAUCAAUUCCCAGUCUAUGAGAAAAUCUUUGGACAACUAAUCAGGUUUUAUAUCGUGUUACUUUUUUCACGAAUACCCACUUAUAUCCAACAAGAUUUAUAUUUUCAGACGUUAUGACUAUAGGUCCAAAGACAUUCUUUUUAUUUAGGGAGAAUAAUUCAAUUUGAAUGGCCUUCUGCCACUCCUCCCAAUCAUGUCUUUUUAACAAAUGGACCUUGGAUCGGGAUCAUCACUUUUAUGAUCGGUCUUUUUGGACACAGAAAAGGAGAACAUUCCAUCAACAUCUUUUAUCUUAUAACUUUUUAUCAAGGGUGUAGUUGAUGGAAAUCUCAUACUUUUCUGUUCCCUUUUAGUCAUCUGGAUCAUCUUUAUUUGGUUCAUGUUGAACUUUUUCAUCUAUGCCUUCUUUCAGACAUUUUUCAGUAUCAGGUUCUUUUGGAACCUUUCUGCUUUGCUCAACAAAUUUCUUUUUCUUUCGGAGAUUUUUAUCUUUAGAACCCGCUAGUCUCCCCCUCUAUAACUGAACCCUAGGUUCAUUCAUUUUGUUACCAUCAGUUUGUUCUUUAGGAACAUCAACUCUGGAUGGAACAUUUUCAGUGGGUAUAUCAUGUCGUAUCUGUGAACACACUUAGUCACUUGUUUGCCAAAUUAUGCAAAUGCAUAAUUUUCUGAAUUUCCAGCCCUCUUUGAUUCGUAGGGGACCAAAGUGUAACAACAACUGUGUACACCAUGUAAUCUCUUUAGGAAUUUCUCAAAUUCCUCCCCCUAACGCUGGAAAUUCAUCCUCCGGCAAAUCGUGCCGUAAACAUAUCACUAGUUACUGGUUCAAGAUACCUUACAUACGGCUUGUUCUAACUCUUUCAGAGUUUUACAUAUUCCCGAGAGUAUCUUUAACUCUCCAGGGACUACUAAACAUCAAGAUGCAACUCAAGUUAUAUGUUUUUUUUUUGUCCUGCCAGACAUUUCAAUAUAUUGCAUCUAUUUUAAAUUUUCUCCAGUGACCUCGGAACAAGCCGUUUUUUCAUAUCUCAAGGUCAUCUUUCAUUUCAUUCUCUGGAGAACUAUACCUUGGACUUUUGGUCCAAAAAUCUCUCGUUAUUCUAACGAGCUUUAUAUCGAAUUGAUGGCCAAUCAAUUCACUCUACCCUCAUAGAUAGAGGUAGAUUCAUAAUCUUUAUUUUUAUAGCGCUUUUUCAUUUAUUUAUUGUCGACAAUCUAUUUUCUCUUUGGUUCCAUUUUUUUUAUCCGUACUGAUAUGGUUAAUCGAGAUCACUUUAUCUCAUCAAUGAUUUACCCAGGUACCUGACUGUUAUAUUAACCAUAUCAACGGUCUCAUCAUGAGAUUCAUCCUCUAUUUAUAUUUUUGCUCCUUUUCGAGGACUCUUUGGAACCAAAGUGGUCUAUCACGUCUCUAGCGUGCCAUAGACUCAGAUAUCGUCCGUUUAGGACACUAUUUUCUUAUUGGAGUAUUUUCACCUGGAAUAUGAGAUAUCAUUAUUUCAUCAAAAUGUCUGGCAGGCAUUUUGGAAAUGGAUUAUCCUACUUUUCAUUGUAAUCCAUUUCACAUAUCUCAUUCCAUCAGCUUAUCAUAUGCUUCUAGCAAACUUGCGAGCAUAUUUCUAAGUAUCCAUAUACUUUAUCCCUCUAGAUUGUAUAUGUCUUUAUUACAUGCACAACUGCAUGUUUACACCCGAUCAUGGUGAUCAUCUUACUUGAAUUUACUUUAUAAAGUUCUUUUUCAAGUGCGAACAUAAUUUUUCAAUGUUCCACUCACUAGGAUUCUUUAAUUCUCCUCCUCGAGAUGCUGACACUCCAUGUCUAAAAUCUCGUACUGAAUCCCACUCUAGAACCAAUAACAUAUUCAGUUUUCCCAUUUUGGGAUGAAUUAUGUUUCAAAUCCUUUAGAGUGAGAUCUUAAUUUGGGGUCUGCUUAAAGAAAUCACAUGUAGUGAACUUGUUUGAUGAUUCAUCACCCAUGAUGGUUUCCUUUAUAUUAACGGAAUCUUCUUCUUCGUCCACUUCCACGACCACGAUAGGGGGUUUCAACCGCAUCUACACCCUCGUCCUUUUCUAGUAGGACCGACUUGAUGGUUUAGUAUCAUGAUUUCAUUUUUUUUUCAGUUUUCAAGGAGGAUUUACAUCAACUCCAACUAUUUAUUGAAUCCUUUCUUUCAAGGAUUUAAUUAUUCAAAGAUCUUCUAGAUCUUUUCUCAUGAUACACCUCAUCUUAUAAACCAUCAUUAAAGUGGUGUAAAUUAUCAGGGCUUUAUCUUUUUCUCAUCCAAUAUAGAUUAUAUCGAUGAUUUUUCAAAGCUCAUUCUCUCAGGUGCAUCUUUGCACCCACUGUCCAAGCCUUAUAAUUAUUUCUCGUAAUAUCAAGGGCAUUUAUUUUGAGCUUUGUCAAAAUUCACUUGAUAACAUUAUUCAUAGAAUAAUAUUAUAGUAAAGACAAGAAUUUAAAUGCAUAAAUUAAAAGCAUAAAAUAAAUGCAGAAAUUAAAUUGCAGAAAUUUAAAUUGCAGAAAUUUAAGUAGCAUAAAUAAAAUCGGGAGGCUCAGCCUACCACAUGAUCCGAGGAGUCAUAGACUACCAUAUUGAUCAUUUUUCAAAGUCCGAGGAGACAUAGUCUACCAUUUUGACUUUUACUUAUUUCAAGGUCCGAGGAGACUUAGUCUACCAUUUUGACUUUUACUUAUUUCAAGGUCCGAGGAGACUUAGUCUACCAUUUUUGACCUUUUCUUUUUAUUUAUGGAGGCAAAGCCUUCCACGUAAAUUUUUUUUUUCAAUUCACGGAGGCAAAGCCUACCACGUGUUUCUCUUAUCGUGAAGGCAUAGCCUACCAUAACGAUCAGUCGGGAAAGACAACGCCUAUCAUCCUGGAAAAUAAACGGAGAAGGCCUAGCCUCUCACUCCGGAAUAAUAAUAAAAUUUAAAUAAAUUAAGUUUAUUGAAACACAUAAAUUUAAACAUUACCUCGGCUGGUUUAAGAACUUUUGGAUUGAUAAACUUCAGUUGGUCAGAGCCUCGUGCUGAUAACGUGUUGUUAUUUAUUUGGUGAAGUAUAUUUAUGAUUGCAAAAGAAAAACAAAUAAUGGAAAAGAGAAAGAGAGAUGUGACGUGAGAGUGAGAGAGAUAUAGAUAAUUUAGAGUGUUGUGUUUUUUGUAGUCAACGAGAGAGAGAAACUAUAAGACUUUUUCAUUCUAUGAUAAUUAUUUAAAAGGAACUGGUACAACAUAUUUAUAGGGGAAGUCAGUCAGUUUAGUUUGACCGACAUAAGAAGAAAAUGGACAAGUGUCCUAGUGAUAAUGCAAGAGACAUAAGGUGGUGAAGACAAGUGUCCAGGCAAGAUGACUAAUCAUUUUUUUUAUAACAUAACCCUAAUUGUCUCCUUUGUUCAUCUGAGUUUGAGUUUGGCAGCGGCGAUAAUGACGAUCAAUCGUUCUCUAUCAUCCUGUAAAGGACUGCGACUUUAGUGACAUUAAUACAGACGUCCGUCGGGGAAAUCUCUGCUAUAAAUAGGGUGUUUUUCUGAUUUGAAGACCGGGAAGUGUUCAUCGGUUGUGGAGGCUUGGCACUAUAGGGUUCUUUCUCCGGGUUGCGAUCAGAGUAAGCUGUUCUUCCUCCUCAAUAAUUUCUGAUCUCUCGGGAGGCUCCUCGAUUUCAAGAGAAGUAAUCUGCAAAGUCGUUCGUUAGGGCUACGACUUUAUAUUCAUCUCGAUUGCCCAUAUAAACAUUUCUAAGAAUGAAUCAUGUAAGGAUUACUCUUGCUCUGCGUUUUGUAUCUUUAUAUAUAUAUAUUUCCUGUAAUGGCAUCACUACAAGUUCUAGCUUUGAUUUUGUUUCAUGAGUCAAUUUAUAUGGAUUGCGAAGGGAAACACAAAGAUUUAAUAUGUUGGUUAUUGAUUGUUUAAAUUAGUUAUACAAACAGGUGUUCUCUUCCUUCUCCUGUGCGCAGAACAAGAAAGACCUUGGAAUCUCACAGUAACUCAUCUUUCUCUCUUCUUCAGUUUGAGAGAUAGGCUAAGUGGAUAAAUUAAGCUGUAAACUAAAACAUUGAAUCAGAAUGCACCAAAAAUAUUUACUUUUAUCUUUGUUGUUCUUGAUCUUUUUAGAAACUUUUACUUUCAGAUACACUUAAGAGGAUAUUCUAGAAACGUAUACCAUGUGAAGGAGAAGAUUAUGUAAAUUGCAAUUUUGUUAACUCUUUGAAAGAGGUCAGUGAAACCUUUAUUUUUGUUAAUACUAAUGCAUACUGUACCAUUAUAUUUCACAUUGUCGAACAGGGAAAGAUUUUGUUA
Long non-coding RNA from Brassica napus (rape), 12120 nucleotides. RefSeq lists it as uncharacterized. The record is from RefSeq and is a predicted model, not a curated record. The transcript has 2 exons. Lineage: Eukaryota; Viridiplantae; Streptophyta; Magnoliopsida; Brassicales; Brassicaceae.